This 398-nucleotide ribosomal RNA is filed under the name uncultured bacterium. Its description in RNAcentral is "partial 16S ribosomal RNA". It matches the Rfam family "Bacterial small subunit ribosomal RNA", at positions 355 to 769 of the family's 1533-position model. The record is from RNAcentral.
UGGGGAAUAUUGGACAAUGGGGGCAACCCUGAUCCAGCAAUGCCGCGUGUGUGAAGAAGGUUUUCGGAUUGUAAAGCACUUUCGGCGGGGACGAUGAUGACGGUACCCGCAGAAGAAGCCCCGGCUAACUUCGUGCCAGCAGCCGCGGUAAUACGAAGGGGGCUAGCGUUGCUCGGAAUGACUGGGCGUAAAGGGCGUGUAGGCGGUUUGUACAGUCAGAUGUGAAAUCCCCGGGCUUAACCUGGGAGCUGCAUUUGAGACGUGCAGACUAGAGUGUGAGAGAGGGUUGUGGAAUUCCCAGUGUAGAGGUGAAAUUCGUAGAUAUUGGGAAGAACACCGGUGGCGAAGGCGGCAACCUGGCUCAUUACUGACGCUGAGGCGCGAAAGCGUGGGGGAGC